AGUUUGAUCCUUGGCUCAGGACGAACGCUGGCGGCGUGCCUAACACAUGCAAGUCGAACGGGAGUUCCUGAGAAUUGAAGCUUCGGCAGAUUUUUUCUUGAACCUUAGUGGCGGACGGGUGAGUAACGCGUGACGGAACCUGCCUUCCAGAGGGGGACAACAGUUGGAAACGACUGCUAAUACCGCAUAAUGCAUUUUUUUCGCAUGAAUUAAAUGCCAAAGAUUUUAUCGCUGGAAGAUGGCCUCGCGUCUGAUUAGAUAGUUGGUGGGGUAACGGCCCACCAAGUCUACGAUCAGUAGCCGGACUGAGAGGUUGAACGGCCACAUUGGGACUGAGACACGGCCCAGACUCCUACGGGAGGCAGCAGUGGGGAAUAUUGCGCAAUGGGGGGCAACCCUGACGCAGCAACGCCGCGUGAAGGAAGAAGGUCUUCGGAUUGUAAACUUUUGUCUUUAGGGAAGAUAAUGACGGUACCUAAGGAGGAAGCUCCGGCUAACUACGUGCCAGCAGCCGCGGU
Molecule: ribosomal RNA, 518 nt
Filed under: uncultured bacterium
Lineage: Bacteria
Description: bacterial SSU rRNA
Rfam family: Bacterial small subunit ribosomal RNA
Source: RNAcentral